This 86-nucleotide transfer RNA is filed under the name Microgenomates group bacterium ADurb.Bin219. Its description in RNAcentral is "tRNA-Tyr". It matches the Rfam family "tRNA". Rfam says of the family: Transfer RNA (tRNA) molecules are approximately 80 nucleotides in length. The record is from RNAcentral.
GUCGGGAUGGCGGAGCGGUCAAACGCACCAGUCUGUAAAACUGUUGCCCGAAAGGGCUACGGAGGUUCGAAUCCUCCUCCCGGCAC